GAGACAGAAAGAGAAAGAGCUUUCAGCGGAGAGCUGGAAGUGAUGGGAGGAGGGACCCAGGUUCGGGUCAGAGCCUCCACAGACUCUCACCCUCUCAUCUGCCAUCUACCUAGCUGCACACUCAGAAAGUAACUCCUACCCACCUGUGACUGAUGGAGCGGUGAAGAAGUUGGCUGGAAAACCACUGACCUGUUCCUUCUGUCCGAGGAGUGCCUUCACCUGACACAGCAGUCACAGCUCUCUGUGUCAGCCCCUUAGGGGCCCAGCUGCCCUCAGAAAGGGGGAAAGGAUAUUAAACAGCUGAGAAAAGUCUCCUUCCUCCUCACUUAACCCUGCCUGAGAUUGCUGCCUGAAGCUGCCUUUAACCACGGUUUGUGCUGAAUUGUGCUCGGAAGGACAGAGACGCCGGCAGCACAACUUGCAGUCAGAAUCCUGGUUCAGCUGCAAACUGGGCCACACCGCAGCUGCAGACCUUGCCGGUUUUGUGUGUCAGAAGCCCUCUAUUAUUAUUUCUAGUGCGGUGGAUGUGCUGCACUAAAGCAUGCAUCAGGCAAAAAAUUUAUCUCUUUUAAAUCUUCUGUCCACUGACUCACCUGUCACUCACCUGUCCAUAAGUGCCAGGGAAGGAAACUGAGACAGGGAAUUGGGAAUGGCCAUGGAGGAAUUUCUGCGGAGCUGGACUGGGCAGCACUGGCUGGCUGCACUCAGUUGCCACUUCUAAAGUCCAUGGAUAUCCCUUGAAAAAUCCAGAAGUUAUUGUACAUUUGAGCAACACUGACUUACCACUAAAAAUCUGCACUGCCGUGGGACAAAAUGUAAAUAUUUCUAUGUAUUUGAAGCAUACAGAUCUUCUGAGUAUCAUGAUGUCAGCUGUACCUCACGGUAUAGCAGCUUGGCAAAGUCUGUGACACAUAUCCAUACGAUACAGCUUCUGUACUAGAGAUUCUGAGUCAGGAUCACAGCCUGUGUCUUCAGCUGUGAAAAGCACUUCAUUUCCCAUCUACUCAGCAAGUGUUUCCAGUGACAUGUGCUAGAAGAUACUACAAGCGGGCUUUUCUCAUGCCUCAGCGGCAAGGUUUACAUGAAUUGAUACAGUUUUAUCAUGUUUUUGUCCUGUCAGAAUGCAGGGCGAAAUUAUAAAAGCCUCCCCCUCUCCCUGCGUGCACGUACAAAUUGGCCCGAUGCAGUGGGAUCUACAGAGGCAGCCGAGCUGGAUGACUCUUGGUGUGAAAGCCUGUCUGCUGGCUGGCCGCUGUCUAUGAAAGCAGGGGCCUUUGAGGUGUCUGUGAGCCAGCCUUAGUGUCAUCCCCCAAGAUGUGCUGCCAUGCUCACCUCCAUAAAGGGCAGGGAAAGUUGUGUAUCAUACAAAGAUGAUGGAGGGAAUUUCUUUUAUUUGUACUACUUGGCUAAUGUAAUAUUUUUGUGGGAUUGUUUUACCUCCAAUUGAUUAUAUUCAUUUCCUUUGGGCUUUAUGCCAGUUUUAAAGGCAGAUUAUAAAAUGCAUACUUUUUUGGUUCAUGUAUCCAGGCAAAUUAAUAAAUAGACAAAACUGCUGCUUUAAGUCUGACAACCCACCCUGGUUAAAGGAUUGGAACUUGAGGCAAUUCAUGCUGUUCCUGCCCACCCCAUUACUAUGCAUCCCAACUGGGGAGGUUGCUUUUAAGAAAUGAUAGUCAAAGUGGCUUCCUACUUAAAGGAAAUGGUACAUGCAAUAAUUAGACAAAUGAGAAAGACCAUAGGCAGUCCUGCACAAGUGGCAGAUUCACAAAGAUAACCUGAUGGUCUCUUAACAGUCAUCACUUGAAGGAAAAAAGAUCUCAGUAUGGUUUUGUGUCUGCAUUCCUUGUUAGGGAAAAGUGAAACAAGGUUUCUAAACACAUAAUAUUUCCUGUGCCUAUGUCAGAGUUUAUAUGAUAUGUGCAAUGAUUUUACAGUAAAAUAAAGUGAAAGAUACAUUAUGAAAAAACAGCAUUCGUUUUAGUGAGACUAUAUCUUUCAUAUUUUUGCUUUUAAAACUUGAAGCAAGCAAUACACAUAUUUGGCUAGCCCUAAUUUUGCAGUAAAUUAAAUGAUCAGACAGAGAAAAUAAAAAAAAAUGGUCA
This is a long non-coding RNA of Dromaius novaehollandiae (emu), 2102 nucleotides long. RefSeq lists it as uncharacterized. The transcript is spliced from 3 exons. The record is from RefSeq and is a predicted model, not a curated record. Lineage: Eukaryota; Metazoa; Chordata; Aves; Casuariiformes; Dromaiidae.